Molecule: non-coding RNA, 72 nt
Organism: Planoprotostelium fungivorum
Lineage: Eukaryota; Evosea; Variosea; Cavosteliida; Cavosteliaceae
Source: the annotation of a GenBank genome assembly
GCCUCCCUGGCGCAAUGGAAGCGCAUUCGGCUUCGAACCGAAAGGUUGUGGGUUCAAGCCCCACGGGUGGCG